UGGGGAAUAUUGGACAAUGGGGGCAACCCUGAUCCAGCCAUGCCGCGUGCGUGAAGAAGGCCCUAGGGUUGUCUUGACGUUACCUUUACAAGAAGCACCGCCUAACUCCGUGCCAGCAGCCGCGGUAAGACGGAGGGCGCUAGCGUUGUUCGGAAUCACUGGGCGUAAAGGGCGCGUAGGCGGCUGUUUAAGUCGAGGGUGAAAGCCCGGGGCUCAACCCCGGAACGGCCUUCGAGACUGGGCAGCUCGAGACCGGAAGAGGAGGGUGGAAUACCCAGUGUAGAGGUGAAAUUCGUAGAUAUUGGGUGGAACACCAGUGGCGAAAGCGGCUCUCUGGUCCGGAUCUGACGCUGAGGCGCGAAAGCGUGGGGAGCAAACAGGAUUAGAUACCCCGGUAGUCC
RNAcentral lists this ribosomal RNA (401 nucleotides) under uncultured prokaryote. Its description in RNAcentral is "bacterial SSU rRNA". It matches the Rfam family "Bacterial small subunit ribosomal RNA", at positions 355 to 796 of the family's 1533-position model. The record is from RNAcentral.